UACAUAACUGUGGGAUCAGCUGCAUAUCCAAUCUUAGAAAUUUUAGAAGAAUGAGGUACAGAAAAUUUUGAGGAAAUUUUCCCUGCUGUUAUUCCCCAAGCCACACAGAUUUUUGUUAAUGGCUGCUGGGUUGGCAUACAUUGUGAUCCUGAAAUUUUGGUGAGAACAUUGAGGAAGCUAAGGUGGGUGGAUGUCAAUACUGAAGUUGGGGCCGUAAGAGAUAUCCAUAUGAAAGAAUUGCAGAUAUAUACCGAUUAUAGUCGUUGCAGUCAUCCAUUAUUCAUUGUGGACAAGCAAAGGCCGCUUAUAAAGAACAAAGAUAUUCAUGCAUUGUAGUAGAGGAUGAGCUCAAGGUUUUAAAUAUCGGUAUCGUCAUAUCUAUCGGUACUUCGAAAAAGGGAGAUAUCGGAAGUAUCGGAGAUACAGGGUGUCAGGACCCACCUCGGAAUUACCCCCUAACUCCAAGAUGGA
Rosa chinensis is the source of this 471-nucleotide long non-coding RNA. RefSeq lists it as uncharacterized. The transcript has 3 exons. The record is from RefSeq and is a predicted model, not a curated record. NCBI's taxonomy places the organism in Eukaryota, Viridiplantae, Streptophyta, Magnoliopsida, Rosales, Rosaceae.